Molecule: long non-coding RNA, 500 nt
Organism: Athalia rosae (coleseed sawfly)
Lineage: Eukaryota; Metazoa; Arthropoda; Insecta; Hymenoptera; Athaliidae
Exons: 3
Source: RefSeq, a predicted model, not a curated record
AUCGAAAGCCUUGACCUUUCUUGUUUCAGUGCUCUUCGGAUCGCGUUGAAAAAUCAAACCGAUCGUUACGUGUAUCUAUGGUAUUAUUACGACAGCUGCGUAAAGCGCACCCCGUUCGACGCGUCGCUCCUCCCGAGCUACUUCUUAGUGCACGAUCUGCGUGGGCCAAUGCCAAUGAACCAACCAGAGAAACCAGCGUACGAUCUAACCACGUUAUUGGAUUUGGAUAGAGCAAGCCUCCCUCGUAGAAACCAAGGUGACCACCAUGUGCCACUUCUACGUACAAGAUAUUGGAAUGUUGAGCUGUAAUAAGAUUACCACCGAGGCUGAACCCUACGCAAACUAUUUGGGUACUGGGAUGUUUCUCGAUCAAACUUUGCAGCAUAAUGUGGUAAUCUUCCGUGUGCCCUGUGGAAAUUGAAACCAGAAUUGUACCAACAAAUGUAAACGUUUCAAGGAUAAUACUUAUGACUAGAUCAAUGGGUCGACUUACCGUAGGU